GGAUUUCUUCGGAUGAAGUGACUGAGCGGCGGACGGGUGAGUAACGCGUGGGUACCUGCCUCAUACAGGGGGAUAACAGUUGGAAACGGCUGCUAAUACCGCAUAAGACCGCAUGGUAAAAACUCCGGUGGUAUGAGAUGGACCCGCGUCCGAUUAGGUAGUUGGUGGGGUAACGGCCUACCAAGCCGACGAUCAGUAGCCGACCUGAGAGGGUGACCGGCCACAUUGGGACUGAGACACGGCCCAAACUCCUACGGGAGGCAGCAGUGGGGAAUAUUGCACAAUGGGGGAAACCCUGAUGCAGCGACGCCGCGUGAGCGAUGAAGUAUUUCGGUAUGUAAAGCUCUAUCAGCAGGGAAGAAAAUGACGGUACCUGACUAAGAAGCCCCGGCUAACUACGUGCCAGCAGCCGCGGUAAUACGUAGGGGGCAAGCGUUAUCCGGAUUUACUGGGUGUAAAGGGAGCGUAGACGGCAUGGCAAGCCAGAUGUGAAAGCCCGGGGCUCAACCCCGGGACUGCAUUUGGAACUGUCAGGCUAGAGUGUCGGAGAGGAAAGCGGAAUUCCUAGUGUAGCGGUGAAAUGCGUAGAUAUUAGGAGGAACACCAGUGGCGAAGGCGGCUUUCUGGACGAUGACUGACGUUGA
RNAcentral lists this ribosomal RNA (644 nucleotides) under uncultured bacterium. RNAcentral describes it as "bacterial SSU rRNA". It matches the Rfam family "Bacterial small subunit ribosomal RNA", at positions 69 to 749 of the family's 1533-position model. The record is from RNAcentral.